GCAAAUAUAGUUUAACAAAAACAUUAGAUUGCGAAUCUAAAAUUAAGAGUUUAAGUCUCCUUAUAUGCC
Molecule: transfer RNA, 69 nt
Filed under: Sarcophilus harrisii (Tasmanian devil)
Lineage: Eukaryota; Metazoa; Chordata; Mammalia; Dasyuromorphia; Dasyuridae
Rfam family: tRNA
About the family: Transfer RNA (tRNA) molecules are approximately 80 nucleotides in length.
Source: Rfam by way of RNAcentral